RNAcentral lists this long non-coding RNA (2949 nucleotides) under Citrus sinensis (sweet orange). RNAcentral describes it as "long non-coding RNA (CSIN_LNC003809)". The record is from RNAcentral. Lineage: Eukaryota; Viridiplantae; Streptophyta; Magnoliopsida; Sapindales; Rutaceae.
UAGUUGUCCUGGAAUGUUGAGCUAUUACUUACUUGUGUCCUUGGCUCGAGCUAUUUUAUACAUAUGUUGGAAAAAUAAAUCUCUAUACAUUACUUCAACUGGGAUUGUACUCAAUUGUGUUGAGCUAUUAUCAUCAAAAGAGGAUUACGUACAAAUACAAGGUCAACGGGAAAUUGAAAGUAGCAUAUUAGCAUUCCAACAUUUCUAACUAACAAAUUCUACCUACAACAGGGUCAUGUAGAGGUGCUUUUCAAGUGCUGAAGAAAACAUAGAGGUUAGUGCACAGCAGCUUCACAAAGAAAAUCACCCUUUAAACUGACUAAUGCAUGAAAUUCCCUUUCAACCUCUACCCACAACAUCUUUCUCAAAUCUUCAAGUUCUUGUCACCCAGGAAGACCGGAUUCUCAGCUAGCACAUAACGGUAAUUAGGCAUUUUCGUGCAAGUAAGACAUAUCGAUUGACACACAGUUGAAAAGAACCCCAUGCUUCAGCAUCUUGUGUACAAUCCCCUGAAAAAUCUUGCCAAUGAAAACAACAGGAAAGAGCAUCUCCCCUGCGUUCUCUCUAACUUUUCCCUCGCCAAAAAUUUUUCAAGUCCACAAUUUUUAUUACUGCUGUACGGCCAAGGCGGAUGUACGGUACAGCAGAAGAUCGAAAUAUGACAGCUCUUCAUUUAGCAGCCGCCAGAGGGCAUAUAGGGAUAGUAAAUGAAAUUAUUUCCUCUUGUCCAUAUCGUCUUCUAGUAAAGGUCGAUGACAGACGCUGGAAUUUUCUUCACUUUGCUAUGGUCAGUUUAGAUAUCUUCCAAUUGAGCCGUCUCCUAAUAAAACAUCCGAUCGUCAGAAGCAGCUGUUUGUUAAGUAAGGACGUAGAUGGAAACACUCCUCUCCACGUGGUUGCUGCUGUCUGUCGACUUUCACCCCGUGUGGCUGUCCUUCCGUUCCUUCUCAAAGUUGUAGGCGGUAAUGAUGCCGUCAACAAUCAUGGUAUUAGUGUUCAAGAUGUAAAAGGUCGUGGAUUUCCUGAGCUCGAGGUAAAUACUUUUUUACUGUUUACUCAUUGCUACCUGCUCCUCACGGCUACUAAUUGUUUAUGCGGGCGCAGCUAUUCCAAGUAAUGUUAAUCAAUUCAUACUUUGUUUUUAUUUUUCUUAAAUGGGAACAACUUUUUCAUCGCAUUGCACUGCAAUAUCGAACAUUUGUGAGUAAAAAUUAACAAUGUUGUUAUGAGUUUAACCCAAAAAAAAAAAAAAGUUUAAAAAGAGCAUGUUGUAUAUGGUCCUAUAUCACUAAUUCCUAGAGUCACACGCAUAAGCACGUCAUAACAUUAAUAUAGAGGAAAAUGCUAUUUGUACAAAUAUUUUAUACAUAUGUUUCUUUUGUUUUGUGCUUCUCACGAACUGCAUAUGGCAUAUCGGAUCAUACAGUUUUUUUUUUUUUUUUUGGUGGGUCACUUAACUCAUUUUAUAUUUACAAAGUCUAAAUUAGUUUAAUGUGACGAAUUGAUUUCAUCGGUCUUGAAUGUGCUACACACGAUAUAAUAUUAUCAUAAAUUAUUAUGUGUGCUAAAUGAUUACUUACAUUAUCAUCUUAAUUGUUUUAUAGUGAAUGGGGUGAGGUAUUCGUGUGUAUGCCACGUUAUUUGUAUCAAAUGUUAGUGAAGCAUACCACACCCCCUCUCCCUCUCUAUAUAUAUACAUACUGUAUUGUAUAUAACUAAAUCUUAUAAAAUAAAGGUAUCUUUUGUCCUGGCCUUGAAAUUGGUCCUCUUUUUUAAAAAAUUGUUUCAUAAAUUUUCUUAGAUCAAUAUUUAAUUUACCUAAUAUGAUCAACAUAUCGCAGCAAGAAAUCCAAGAGUUGUCCAAAAAUGUUGGCCGUGGACAAUAUCCAAAUGGUAUUCUCCGGGUGCAAACAGAAAAAGAGCCAGUCGAUGAAGAAGCAUUAAAAGAAAUGCAAUCGCUACAUACGGUAGUGGCUACACUUAUUGCAACAGUUACCUUCGCUGCAGGGUUCACAUUACCCGGUGGUUACUGGGGUAAAGAAGGCCCAAUUCCCGGCACUCCAAUCCUCAUAAAAAAUGCAGGUUUCCGAGCAUUUAUUGUAUCUGAUGUCAUAGCCAUGGUCCUCUCCGUUUCAGCUAUCUUUAUUUAUUUCCUUACUCCAGCUAAGACCCUUCGGCAAACCAAGUUUCUUUCAGAUAUGCCCCAUAAUUUCAUCAUGGUUUCCUUGUUAGCAAUGGUGGUUGCAUUUAUUACAGGCACAUACGCAGUGUUGGCACCUUCUGCUGGGCUUUCCGUUGCUACUUGUGUCCUUGGCUCGAGCUUCAUUCUCUUUGCCUUUGCCAACACGUUCAUGCUAGCUCGUGGACUCUACCAAAGAAUGUUCGGCAAUAACUAAAAGUAUUUGUAUAUAUACCCCUUUUUCAUGAUAUAAUUAGAAAAAAUAUCUCUAUGUUGGAGAAAUUAGCAUGAUUCUGUGUAGUUGUCCUGGAAUGUUGAGCUAUUACUUACUUGUGUCCUUGGCUCGAGCUAUUUUAUACAUAUGUUGGAAAAAUAAAUCUCUAUACAUUACUUCAACUGGGAUUGUACUCAAUUGUGUUGAGCUAUUAUCAUCAAAAGAGGAUUACGUACAAAUACAAGGUCAACGGGAAAUUGAAAGUAGCAUAUUAGCAUUCCAACAUUUCUAACUAACAAAUUCUACCUACAACAGGGUCAUGUAGAGGUGCUUUUCAAGUGCUGAAGAAAACAUAGAGGUUAGUGCACAGCAGCUUCACAAAGAAAAUCACCCUUUAAACUGACUAAUGCAUGAAAUUCCCUUUCAACCUCUACCCACAACAUCUUUCUCAAUCUUCAAGUUCUUGUCACCCAGGAAGACCGGAUUCUCAGCUAGCACAUAACGGUAAUUAGGCAUUUUUGUGCAAGUAAGACAUAUCGAUUGACACACAGUUGAA